AUGAGAUCUUCAGCUUUGUUCAGCGUGAAGGCGAGAGCUUGUAUGAUGCUUGGGAGAGAGCUACAGUUGGUUACUUUUGAUAUUGAGGAGAUACCUUUAGUUGAUAUUGAUCAUGUGCUGCUAGAGACAGAUAUGGAAAAGUUCACCUUUGAUGAUGUUAGCCACAUCGAUUCUUCAAUGUUUGAGCCUGAGAUAGAAAUCUUCAUUGUUGAUUAUGAUGAGGUCACUUCAGAUGUCAAGGAGCAAAGCCCUACUAUUUCACAUGUCGAUACGAGCCCGGUGGAAGUUCCUACUACCAUGCCUUCCAUGGUAUCUUCAGUUGAGGUAUUCAUAAAACUUCUCCAAGGCCAUUUCAGGUAUUAUCUCAGCUUUCUGGAUAAGUUAUGUCAUAUUGCUGAUAUUGCCUAUGCACCAUGUGACUUGUUGUCGAUACAUGUUCCUGAUUUGCUCAAUAGAUAUACUUAUAUGAUAGGGUACUCUAUCGAUGACUUAGAGGGCAUUCUCUCUGUCACUUGUAUUGGCUUGGUUGUUGAGUGUUCUUUCAGGUUGAUGCUUGUGCACCAUUUACUACGAGUUGACCGAGUUCGAGAUGACAUUCCCUGGGAUCCUGGUGGAUUCACGGCAUGGUGA
RNAcentral lists this ribosomal RNA (630 nucleotides) under Triticum aestivum (bread wheat). RNAcentral describes it as "partial small subunit ribosomal RNA". The record is from RNAcentral. Lineage: Eukaryota; Viridiplantae; Streptophyta; Magnoliopsida; Poales; Poaceae.